RNAcentral lists this antisense RNA (75 nucleotides) under Actinoplanes sp. N902-109. RNAcentral describes it as "ASpks TB sRNA". It matches the Rfam family "ASpks TB sRNA". The record is from Rfam by way of RNAcentral. Lineage: Bacteria; Bacillati; Actinomycetota; Actinomycetes; Micromonosporales; Micromonosporaceae.
CUUGACCGAACCCAGCCACAGCGGCUUGUCCUCGUCGCGGUCCUGCCCGUACGUGGCCAGCAGCGCCCGCGCCUC